RNAcentral lists this long non-coding RNA (836 nucleotides) under Olea europaea subsp. europaea. The record is from RNAcentral. Lineage: Eukaryota; Viridiplantae; Streptophyta; Magnoliopsida; Lamiales; Oleaceae.
GUUGAGCAAGUUCGGCGUCUGAGACUUGGAGAAGGGGAUGCUGCAGCAAUACAAUCAUACUUUUCGAAAAUGCAAGCUAGUUUUGCCAGGUUUUACUUCUGUAUAGAUCUGGACGAAGAUUCGAGGCUGAAGAGUGUGUUUUGGGCAGAUAAUAGAAGUAGGCAGGUGUAUAAAGAGUUUGGUGAUGUCGUCACAUUCGAUACCACAUACCUCACCAAUAAGUAUGACAUGCCGUUUGCUCCUUUUGUUGGAAUUAAUCAUCACGGACAAUCUACUCUGCUUGGAUGUGGGCUAGUCUCGAAUGAGGAUACAGAUACAUUCGUCUGGCUGUUUAGGACAUGGCUGCAAUGUAUGCAUGAAAAAGCUCCCCAGGGUAUAAUUACUGAUCAAGACAAGGCAAUGCAGAAUGCAAUUGCAAUUGUGUUCCCCGAUACGAAACAUAGAUGGUGUUUGUGGCAUAUAUUGAAAAAGUUACCGGAGAAGUUUGGAUAUCACGUGGACAAGGGUUCAGUAUUUCAUGCUAUACACAGUUUGGUUUACGAUUCACAAUUUGUCGAAGAAUCUGAAGAUGGAUGGAGGGUAAUGAUUGAUACAUAUGAUUUGCAUGAUAAUGCAUGGUUGUCGGGAGUGUAUGAUAACAGAUGCCGAUGGGUUCCGUGUUACUUCAAAACCAGCUUCUGGGCAGGAAUGUCCACAACUCAACGCAGUGAGUGUAUGAACGCGUUCUUUGAUGGCUAUGUGCAUUCAAAGACUUCGUUAAAGCAAUUUGUCGAACAAUAUGAACGGGCUUUGAAGAAUAAAGUUGAGAAGGAGAUUCAAGCUGAUUUCAAGUCUUU